AAAAACAAAAAAAAUUGUUAAAAAAAACAUUUUUUCUAUUAUUAUUUUCUCUUCUCUUUCUUCUACCUUCUUUCUCUCUAUUCUCUGCUUCUCUUUAUCUUUCUUCUUUUUCCCUCACCGGUGCCCCCUUCUCCUUCUCCUUCUCCUUCUCUUUUUCUUUUUCUUUUUUCUCUUCUUCUCUUUGCUUCUUACUUCACCUGAGCUGCUGCUGAACUUGAGGACUUUAAAAUAGUCCCCAAACAGAAAAAACGAAAACAAAUAAAACGGAGGUAUGCAAUCUUGAUGCCGCCUAUGGCACCUCCACCUUCAGUGUCGCCUUUGCCAGAGGCCCCACCGGUGCCGCCUCUGACAUAGGCGGCACCACCCAUGAUAUACCAUUUUGGUAAAUAGUAUUUUCUCUAUAUUAUUUUCGUAUUUUUCUCUUUUUUUUUUGUACUAUUUUGGAAAAAAACCCUCUCUAUUGCUAUCCAAAGGCCAUAGGCCUUCCUACUUGGACACGUGUCCACUGCUUCUUUCCCUUUUGUGUCGAAAACUCUUAUUUAUCAUUACUUCUAAGGAAAAAUUUACCCACCACAGAUUUUGGGUUACUCAUCAUGAAGAUUUUAUUUUAUUUUUACCUUUCUUCCUCGAAAUGAACUCAAAAAGAAGUUAAACCCAUAACUUCUGAUGAUCAAAUCUUUAACUCACAAAACACAGAAAAAAGCUACUUUAAGGAUUUAGGGUUUUGUGCAUUUCAACAUCAGUAUUAUGGGCUAAGAAAAAAUGGAGGGAUUACAGAAUAUGGUUUGUUCCUUCUCAAAGGACACAAACUCAAGAUCCCUUUCUUUCUUCUUGGAAAUCCUCUACAGUCCUCGUGGCGGCAACGGCGGUGGAGCAGUGCAGACGAUUCUUUCGGCGAUACCAUUCGUAUUUGUGAACAGGCCUCCCAAGCAAGUUAUCUUGUUGUGGAGGUGUUCAAAACUUGCUUUAUCGCCGGAAUAAUCGUCGACUGCUCCCUCAAAUGCUGUGUAUGGCGUUGGGCUUCAAGGUUCUCAAGCGAUUAAAAGACGAUUAGUGCAACGUUAUUAACCCUUUCAAAUCCAGUUUGGUUUCAUAUUAUGAAAAUGGAUUGCAGAUCUAUUUUAUAGAUAUCUUUGUUGUGGGUGCAUGUUGCUCGUUAAAACUCCACCAGUUACUAAUAGUUUUUCUUAGAAAGCGGGAUGAGUAUCACGUUUUGAGGGCAUGUAGCCAUGCACCGAGCUACCAUCUAGGCGACCGUAUAAUGCCAUACUUGGAAAUGGUAGGAUUUGGUUAGUGGGUCUAAUUAAGAUGUUUGAGUUGCGGUUUGACGUAGUAUCCGCAUUAACUGAGCGGUGGCAGUCGGAGACUCACACAUUCCAUUUACUGUGUGGGAAGUGCACCAUCACACUUGAGGACAUCGCACUACAACUCAAGCUACUAGUGGAUGGUUAUGCGAUCACUGGUUUCAAUAAAGUGGUCGAACCUGUGGCCUUGUGCGACAGUUUGCUUGGUCGAUCGUCAGAUGAUGGGAAGAAUAAAUUUACUAGUUUUGAAUUUUGGUUGGUUAAAACAAAAUUUCAAAAACGUAUUGAGCAAUGCUACGGAGUUGGAGCUUAUUUGCGCUGCUCGAGCAUUUAUUAUGCAGUUGGUAGGGUAUACUGAUGCCGAACGCGAACAGUAAUAAAGUCUAAAUUAAGUACUUGCCCCUAUUGUCAGAUUUACGCAUCGCUCGAGAGUACAAUUGAGCGUCAACAGUAUUGGCAACAUUGUAUCGUGAGCUAUGUCAGGCUACAAAACACAAUAUGCAAGAAAUAAGUGGUUGUCUAAUACUGCUGCAAUCAUGAGCGCCGUAUAGGAUGCUGUUUUUGGUAUCAGUGGGUCACUAACCACCAAUGUGACUGCUUGUAAAUAGAUGGUUUACAUACCCUGCUAUAGGGAGGUCUACAAAGCUUGGGGUGUAUUGUCAAAUAAUCAAGGCAUAUUUUGGGGAGGAGGUGGAGUUUUUAUAAAAAUGUCAAUAAAAACUGUAUUUGGUCACUGUAGUAUAACUAUGUUAAAUAUUUUGCAGUUCGUGUGGAUGCCAUAUUCUGCAUCGGACGUUGCCGUUGUUAUUUCACAGUGGGGUCAUGCACACUCAACUGUGUGGUGCAUCAACGUUUCGGUGUUGAAUUUCUUGAUUGUUAAGUGGUAUAAAGGCGAUCGAUUUCUUCAACAAUUUGAUUGCAAACAACGCUACAAGUAGGUUCGCACAAUCUUAAAUAGUAAAAAUAUUAUUUUUAAAA
Molecule: long non-coding RNA, 2282 nt
Organism: Gossypium arboreum
Lineage: Eukaryota; Viridiplantae; Streptophyta; Magnoliopsida; Malvales; Malvaceae
Exons: 4
Source: RefSeq, a predicted model, not a curated record